CCACAUUGGUCCACUUAUUCCCCAAUUGCAGCAAACAUGCAGCACUUGAGAAACAGACAGUAGCCAUCAGUCAUCGUAGUUUGUGGAACCCUCCCCCUUUGCUAUGUCCUGAUAGCAGAUUAAUAAGAAACUUCAAACAUUAAAUUUAGAGUGGGGUUCAGAUGCAUACUUUUUUGCUUAUGAAUGAAAACUAGGCCAAUUUAGUUCAUGAUGAUCCUGCAACAAAUGGUACUCUUCUAUUGCAAUUUCGAUAUAUGUGUCACCGGAUAUUAUUCUCUUUAAAAUAUUAACUAGAUGAAAUAUAUAACGUUCAUACUUAUAAAUUUUUUAAAAUUUCUUUAUUAAUUCGAUGUGAAAUUAAAAUACUUUAUUUAUUUUUUUAAAACACUUGACAUGAUGCAUGCACUAUUAAUCAAGGUACUCUCCAGAACUAAUAGUACUCUUCUGUUAGCUUCACAAAGUUAUGAUGUAAAGCUAACAACUUCAAUCUAUGUAUCACGAAUUACUUUUUAUUUUUUUUUUAAAAAAAGAUUAAUUUAAUGAGACGUGUAAUGUCUGUCUUUGAAAUUAUUAUAUUAAUAAAAAUAAAAUAUAUACUAAUAAGUUAUAAACUGAGUCGCCGACAGCUAAAAUUUGGCAGAAAAGAGUAUUAAUUGGAGGUAAGAUGCAUUCUUACCUAUAAUCUAUUGCUUUUAGCCUUGUUUCUGUCAAAACUACAGUUGGGAAUGUGAUACAUGCAAAGGCAUAUAGAGGUAAGUAUGGCAAGAGCUAGAGCAGGCCAUAGCCCCUUCCAAAUGGAAAGAAAGGAAUUGAUAAUUGACCCAUGAUAAAGAAAGACACUAUCAUCG
This 848-nucleotide long non-coding RNA is filed under the name Theobroma cacao (cacao). RNAcentral describes it as "long non-coding RNA (TCAC_LNC005745)". Lineage: Eukaryota; Viridiplantae; Streptophyta; Magnoliopsida; Malvales; Malvaceae. The record is from RNAcentral.